Panicum virgatum (switchgrass) is the source of this 1985-nucleotide long non-coding RNA. RefSeq lists it as uncharacterized. NCBI's taxonomy places the organism in Eukaryota, Viridiplantae, Streptophyta, Magnoliopsida, Poales, Poaceae. The record is from RefSeq and is a predicted model, not a curated record. The transcript is spliced from 4 exons.
CGCGAGCUCCGCCGUCCUACCCCUUGCCCUCACCGUCCGCAUGACCGCAGCCGCCCCUUGUUGCCGAUCCACCCAUCGACGCUUUGCCACGCGAAUUCGGCGAUGCCGUCAUCCCAGACGCGCGCCGCCCACCAAUCCGCCGAUCUGCCACAUGGCCUCGCCGCCGCAACACCACCUCGCCCCGCCGCAGUGCAGCCGCCAUGACAAGGAAACAGAUCCCCGACAGCGCGCUGCAACUCCACCUUCUCCGACGCGCCUCCUCGCUACACACUCGGCCUUCGAAGACCUGAGCGCUCAGAGUAUCACAGCGCCAUCCUGAACGCUUGGCAGUCGCGCGGAGACCUAAGUGCUGCAACGUCGGUCUGUCGCGCCAUCGCCGUCCCGCCGCUGCGCCGUCAACACGCCAUGCCUUCGUGGCUCCGUCCUGUGGAGCAGGUCGUGCCGCCGUCUCGACGCACGGAUAUCUUAGUGCUGCAACAUCCGGUUGUCGCGUCGCCAUCCGUCGUUGCUCCAUCGACCAGUCGUCCCGUUGCGGCGCCGUCCUGUGGAGCGGGUCGCACUCCCUCCCAUAGUCCCAUGCUCAUCCUCUCUCCUCCCACGGCUAUGAACUCAGACAACAAAAGGUAAGCAUAAUUUCCCUUCAUUUACCAUGAAUUUGGGUGCAAAAUCAAGAAGCCCUACAAUUAGGGGCAUGGCCAGUGCACCAACACUUGCCUUCCCGUCGACGGCGUCGGAUGACAGUGCAAUUGGAGCAAUGGUGGGUUCAUCUAGAGACACCAUCCCUCCGUUUGGUGGGCAGGGACUCCUGUAGGUCCAGAGGUGCCAGGCGAGGUCGAGGUUAGAUGCUGCGAAAUGCACCAAGCUCUCUGCUCACUAAAUGUUUGAUGGAAUGCCACAUUGGGCCAUCAAGUCGGAUGUUGCUGCGAUUUGUUUGAUUCAGUUCCCGGAGCAAACUGAGUCUAAUAUUCCAUCCUUGAACACUAUGUGUACCACUGCAGGAAGGAAGUAUCCUGGGCUUAGGAAGACAAGUACUUGUGUCUAUGUCUCGCUAUCAAUUUGUAUUUAUGCCUCUGCAUCAAACUUAUUUGGUGUCGUAAUUUACUUGAUACAAGAGACUAAUGGUGCAUCUGAAUUGUUUAUCACACAAAAUCUAAAUGAAAAAAAUUGCAUUUUCAUUAACUGAGCUAUGCUUGGUGUUGAUUGGUUUAUUUCAUCCAAACUCAAUUAUCCCACUGGAAUUCACAACAACAAAAAAAAAGGUAUAUAUACCUUCUGGCACUAAAUAGUGUGUACAUUAUUAUAAAUUGGUUAUGUCUUUAUUUGCUACAUUAAUCGUGAGAGUUGGUAUAUAUUUGAUCGCUUCAGCAAUUAUUUUUAUAUCACAGGUAGAGAUACAAGAAUUAAAAGGGAAGAUUGAUUCAGCCAGAUUCUGUCUGAAAAGAUUCUUCAGUGCAUGGAGAUUCACUUUUUCUUUGGCUAAACCACCCUAUUCCCCAUUUGGUUGUGAUGAUGAUAGGUGGAGGAAAUUUUGAACCUUUCCCCAUUAAAUGAGAAAGGCUUGAUGGUUAUCUCCAAUCAUUUGUAGAAACAAAAGACAGCAGACCACAAGGAUAACAGCUAGAUUUUGCGAGGAUUUCAGUGGCCUCCUUGACCACCUCAACACCUGCAGAUGCGAACAACGUUUGCGAUCCACAUCCACACAAAGCUGAUCCUAAAGAACGUAAGCGGAAGAGGGGCAAGGUCUGAUAUGCAGCAGUGUCUGACGAACAGAAGUGUGGAAAAAAAGUGUCAUGAAGCAUAUCAAAGAAAUUAAAGAAAUGUCAUGAACUAAAUAUUGAUAACGUUGGCCAAGGACAAUUGUAACAUUGGCAGUGGAAAGGUAACCAACCAGUUUACAUGUAUUGUGUACUUCUAUGAGGCAUGUGCUCAUCAUCUACUAAUCUACUCCCUCCGUCCCAAAAAAGAAGUCAUCCUAGGAAUUCUAG